AACGAACGCUGGCAGCAUGCCUAACACAUGCAAGUCGAACGAGACCUUCGGGUCUAGUGGCGCACGGGUGCGUAACGCGUGGGAACCUGCCCUUAGGUUCGGAAUAACUCCCCGAAAGGGGUGCUAAUACCGGAUAAUGUCUUCGGACCAAAGAUUUAUCGCCUUUGGAUGGGCCCGCGUUGGAUUAGCUAGUUGGUAGGGUAAAAGCCUACCAAGGCGACGAUCCAUAGCUGGUCUGAGAGGAUGAUCAGCCACACUGGGACUGAGACACGGCCCAGACUCCUACGGGAGGCAGCAGUGGGGAAUAUUGGACAAUGGGCGAAAGCCUGAUACAGCAAUGCCGCGUGAGUGAUGAAGGCCUUAGGGUUGUAAAGCUCUUUUACACGGGAUGAUAAUGACAGUACCGGGAGAAUAAGCUCCGGCUAACUCCGUG
Molecule: ribosomal RNA, 433 nt
Filed under: uncultured bacterium
Lineage: Bacteria
Description: partial 16S ribosomal RNA
Rfam family: Bacterial small subunit ribosomal RNA
Source: RNAcentral